This 252-nucleotide ribosomal RNA is filed under the name uncultured bacterium. Its description in RNAcentral is "partial 16S ribosomal RNA". It matches the Rfam family "Bacterial small subunit ribosomal RNA", at positions 524 to 776 of the family's 1533-position model. The record is from RNAcentral.
UACGAAGGGGGCUAGCGUUGCUCGGAAUCACUGGGCGUAAAGGGUGCGUAGGCGGUCGCGCAAGUCGGAUGUGAAAUCUCAGGGCUCAACCCUGAAACUGCAUUCGAUACUGCGUGGCUAGAGUGCUGGAGAGGAGACUGGAAUUUACGGUGUAGCAGUGAAAUGCGUAGAUAUCGUAAGGAAGACCAGUGGCGAAGCGAGUCUCUGGACAGCAACUGACGCUGAGGCACGAAGGCCAGGGGAGCAAACGGG